UUACAUGUAUGUGUGAAGCAUGAUUGACAGCACAGGUAACCACCAUUUUAUUAUUUUUUCUCUUGCUUUGCUGUAGCUUUCGAUCUUCAUCAUCACUCUGUGCCAUUAUUCGUCCGUAUUACUCCUAAUUGCAGACAGCAAUAAAUCUAUACAACUGCCCCAAUGCAUUUGGAUUGGCUGAUCCUGGUAACAUAGGCGAACUGCUGCUUGGAUCACCGACGAAAAAAGGAAAAGAGCUGGAGUAGAACCACUACAUCUUGGCCCAGGGCAGUCAGAGAGGAACAGGUGAGCCAGUCACCGACGAAGAGGCCAAUCAUUCCCGCUUACUCGACAACAGCAGUAAAAUAAAGGCCGGCAGAGGAAAACAACAGAAACCGGGAAAUUCUCUUAGGCUGCACGUCGGUUUUGUGCAUACUACGUAAGUGCAACGAAAUGAGCCCGCUCGGAAAGCGGUGGUUGCGGCCGGGAGUCGGACGAGCGACCUCGAGCUCAUCAACGCCACGCUACAGCGACUGAGCCACCUCGGCAGGC
This 531-nucleotide long non-coding RNA is filed under the name Dermacentor andersoni. Its description in RNAcentral is "uncharacterized LOC126539436". Lineage: Eukaryota; Metazoa; Arthropoda; Arachnida; Ixodida; Ixodidae. The record is from RNAcentral.